UGAGAGUGUUUAAGGAGCAGCUAGGACCUGGUUCGCAGACAAGAACCGCUACCAAGCUGUCUUUCAGCGGCGUGUGGGCUCAUGAGGAGCCUCUUCGGUUAGAGGGUCUGGGUUUUGGCUGGAGAGCGACCCAGAGUUGGGCUGUUUUGUGCUGGACAGGAUGGACAUCACCAUGGCAUGUCAAGAACAUAGUGAACCACUUUUGUCUCGUUGCAGAGGCGUGAUGACCCGUCUGCAUUCCAAGGCCUUUGGACCUCCUCCAUGUUGCUGACCAGCAUGGCUGUCUUGCAGCCAGUCAGACAAGGACCUGGACUGAGAGAGGGAGCAGGACUCGCUACCCCCUCACCAACACUGUGACGAACAAAUGGGGGCAAAAAUGUCCCCAAGUACCUGAACUUCAGGAUGGAGAUCACCAUGGCAUAUCAAGGAUACAGUGAACUACUCCUGUCAUGAUGCAGAGAAGUGAUGACCCAUCUGCAUUACAUCGACCUUUGGACCUCCAUGUUGCUGGGAUGAGCAUGAUUGCCUUGCAGGGACCAGGACUGAUUACACCCUCACUAACACAUGGGGGCUAAAGGUGUCCAAGUACCUGGACUUCAGCUCUCUGCUGAUGUGUGUUGGACUUCAUGUGACAAUGAAGAACCUUGAUGAAAAACCAGGUUCUUCUGAAGAGGGUGGAGUGGUGAUCUACGAUGUUGACACACUCAGAUCAGUCCUUUGAUAAUGCUGCACUCAAAAAAACAAGACAAACAGGAAACCACUCUGGCCAGGAGGACUCUGCCUCCUGCAUGAAUGUCUAUGGCUGCCUGGACUAGGAGGGCAUGGUUCCUUCUUUUUAACAAGGCCAGACGUCCACUCUGGUUGCCCAGCAGGCCAAAUGUACUGUUGCAGUAACUGUGUGCACUUAGAAAAAGUAGCGUUAAAAAAGGCAGCGUAAACUGGGCAUGCAGGAUUGUUCAGCCCUUAAAAUUUAAGAGUUAAGCAAAUAAGCGUCACAGGAAUAGAACAUCUGUGGGAUAUUAGAGGUUAGACAGAAAAAUGCUUCAUUCAUUCAAACAUUCCCUCAUGUAGGCCACCCAAAUAGAAAAACUCUAGACCACGGGUGUCAAACUCAAGGCCCGGGGGCCAAAUCUGGCCCGUGGAAUUAUUAUAUCCGGCCCACAAGAUCA
Cheilinus undulatus (humphead wrasse) is the source of this 1169-nucleotide long non-coding RNA. RefSeq lists it as uncharacterized. NCBI's taxonomy places the organism in Eukaryota, Metazoa, Chordata, Actinopteri, Labriformes, Labridae. The transcript is spliced from 7 exons. The record is from RefSeq and is a predicted model, not a curated record.